Patella vulgata (common limpet) is the source of this 490-nucleotide long non-coding RNA. RefSeq lists it as uncharacterized. The transcript is spliced from 3 exons. The record is from RefSeq and is a predicted model, not a curated record. Lineage: Eukaryota; Metazoa; Mollusca; Gastropoda; Patellidae.
UAUUCUAAAUCCAUGCAGUGUUUUGCUUAAGUUUUAUUGACCCGAAGACCCUGGAAUAAGCCUAGCUAUAGGUUCUGAGCGGAGUCUCUGUCUGCCCAAGUAAAAAGACGUGCCCGUUUAUUAUCCACGGUAGACCGAUUGUAAUAGACGAGGUUAACCGAUUGAGCUAUCACAUUGGUUAUCACGUGAUGUUGUAUAUCAUAUUGGAGUGGAUCACAGUGAUUGUUUGGGGUUUAUAUAAGUUGGUUAUACAACUGAUAGAAUUUAACAUCCAGUUUUUGACACCGGGUUCUUCUGUACAAGUUGAUGACAAGAUGAACAUCGGUAAAAUAGCUAAAAAUGCUGUUAAGAGUCUCACGUCAGGAGAGAUGGUUGCCUUGGAAAGUUUUUGGUCUUCACAGAGAGUGGUAGUCACAUUUUUAAGAUGAUUUGGAUGAGGGUUCUGUAGCCUCAGAGCGAAGCAACUCAUUGCCCUGCAAGCUCAACUGGA